AUGGGGAGCAACUAGGGGCUCCUCAUAUCUAGUGGUCAGGGAAGGCCACUCUGAGGAGUUGACUUAGGAGGUGAGACCUGGAUAUCAAAAAGCCAGCCUGGCAAAGACGAGGGGCAAAUCCUCGCCAGCAGAGGGAAGAGUUGGUGCACAAGGGCUGAGGGGAAAGUGAACUUAGUGAAUUCAGGGCUGAGAAAGGAAGUGAGUGGGUGGCUACAGCUUUUGCGGUGAGGUGGCUGGACAGGAAGACAGAGGCGAGAUCAUGAAGGACUUGGCAAGGCCAAGGGAAAGAUUUGGGGCUUUAUUCUAGGAAGACGGAUGCAACAGAGUGAAGCCAGCUGAUAUGGGUUUGAAAAGGUCUUACUGGCCAGGCAUAGUGGCUCACGCCUGUAAUCCCAGCUCUUUGGGAGGCCAAGGUGAGUGGAUUACCUGAGGUCAGGAGUUCAGGACCAGCCUGGCCAACAUGGUGAAACCCUGUCUCUACUAAAAAAUACAAAAAUUAGCCGGGCAUAGUGGUGGGGACCUGUAAUCCCAGCUACCUGGGAGGCUGACAGGAGAAUUGCUUGAACCCAGGAGGCAGAGGUUGCAGUGAGCCAAGAUUGCGCCAUUGCACU
Molecule: long non-coding RNA, 611 nt
Filed under: Homo sapiens (human)
Lineage: Eukaryota; Metazoa; Chordata; Mammalia; Primates; Hominidae
Description: non-protein coding lnc-COL16A1-1:1
Source: RNAcentral